CACAUGACUUAAGGAGGAUGUCUUUUGUGAAAGCAAAGAGAGGAAGAGACAGGGGGAAAGAGAGCAGCUUUUUCGAGAGGCAGCUUCAACCAGUUACUCUUCUUCUUACGUUAAGGAUGCGAAGUGGACGAUCACUUUUGAUACAAACGCUGCUGCUAACUUCUUUACAACUAUGGGGAACGCUUUGGGCUUCCACGUCUCCUCAAAACCCGCCGGCACCUGAACUACGGAUACAUUCGCGGUCCAGGGACUCUGUGGUGCUGGUUUGCCGGACCUCAGAAGGCCACCACGGAGUUCUAUUCAAACUGUUCAGAUACACCAAGGAGGUGGAUUCAGUGGAGCUGUCGCCAUCUGAGGAGGUCCUCUUCACUGUCCAGCUCAAAGUGGCAACAGAACCUGAACUUUUUUGCUGUAUGUAUAAGAACCAGCAAGGCCUCUACAGUGCUUUCAGUCCCUAUUUAAAGACAGAACAUCAAACAGUCAUACAUCUUGCCUGCCUCUCCAGAUGUUGCCCCCACACAGGCUCUACCCAGCCUGCCACCUCCAGUCUUAUCAGUGGAGCCCCCCGGCGGGAUGGUUGAACGUGGCGACAUCUUGCACUUCAGCUGCUCUGUCCCAGCUCUUCAAUCCACCUACAAACCAACCUCCUUCAUUUUGCUGAGGGCAUCAUCAGGGCGGGAGUCCAUUAUCAGCCAGCAUCAUGACGUUCGUACAUCAAACUUAGAAUCCCAACCAGGGGUUUUCAGUGUGGGCCCGGUAAAGCAGGGAGAGGGCGGGGAGUAUGCCUGCCUCUACUACACCACUAGUGGAGUGGACAUAGUCAAUUCAACGAUCAGCAACAAAAUCCAAAUAACUGUUAGAGAUGAUCUGCCUAUACCCACCCUCGUUCUCCAGCAACACGCACAAGUGUGGCAUAUGCUCUGCACGGGCUCCCCUGCAUACCCCGGGGCUGUCUUCACCCUGUACUUGAUGGACAGUCAACUUCUUGUGGACAGUCACCAUGUACAAAUCACCAGCCACAAGAGCGCCUUCGCAAUGCCAGUGCAGGAUACUCUGAUGGCUUUGUACCAGUGCCAGUACAGUGUCCUCUUGGGAGGGAAGUGGAUUAAUUCUGAACGCAGCCACCCUCUGGCCAUUUCCAAAGGUAUUGACUUUGCCCUGCUUGUCCUCAUUAGUGUUGCUGGUGAGCUGAGCCUAAACCAGGUGACUUUGGACAAGAGACAACUACACCCUAGAUAAGUCGCACAUACUACAUAGACAUCCACUCACACAUACAUUUAUAUCUUUUGACAAUUUAGGUCUGGUUGGUCUAGAUGGAUGACUUGAAAACACAUGAGCUAAUUUCUUCAAGCUAGAAACAUGUCUAUGUUCUGUGAAUCAUUUUGUAAAAAUGAACUGAAUAUUAGAAAAUAUGCCCUGAGAUUGACCGGCAACCAGUUUAGGGUGUACCUGCCGCUGGUUAAAAAAAAAAUCAGACUGGAUAGGCUCCAGCUCAUUCGCGAUCCUAAUGAGGACAAGGGCUUCAGAUUUUUUAAACAGAGAUUUGCAUGGAUUUACAUGCAAAAUGUGUCCUCUUUUUCAGAUCUUCCUCCUCCAUCAACAGGUAGUGUUAUUUUAAUAGAAAGAUCUUUCCAUACCUCGAUUUACAUAUGUGUGUGUCUUCCAUCUGCGCAGAUGUGUCAGGUGUGGACUGGCCUCUUAUACUUGGCUCCUUAUCCACUGUGGUGCUCUUCCUCUGCUCAGUGGCCCUCCUGGUAGUGGUGGUGCACAAAAAAGUGAAAGCAGCGGCUGAUGAAAAGAAGAAAAGAUCGGAAGCAAAGUUUUGGACUCAAGUUCACGCCAGGGACCAUGUUGUUGACCUAACCCUCAGGUGUACCAGUGUCAAUUCUCAGGAAUGGGCCAGGGGGGACAUGGGCACAGACAACACCUCCAGAUCCCCAUUAUGGAACACCCACUCCACAUUCACAGACCCUAUCCAUUAGAAAUCUCUCUCUCACUCUCUUUCUCUCUGUAUAUUUAUACUUUAUUAUGGUGUGUCUGUGUAGCAUCAGCUGGCUUUAAACACAGCAGGACAGGAAAAGCAAUUUCCUUACUUCCAAUUUCAUGUGGAGAGGCAUGCUUCUUCAAUUAGACAGGAUGUGAUGUUUGCUUUACGUACCUGCCACUGAGCCACUAUUACUAAAUAAACCCUGCCGUGUUUACUUGUGA
This is an RNA transcript of Hippocampus zosterae (dwarf seahorse), 2208 nucleotides long. RefSeq lists it as uncharacterized. The record is from RefSeq and is a predicted model, not a curated record. Lineage: Eukaryota; Metazoa; Chordata; Actinopteri; Syngnathiformes; Syngnathidae. The transcript is spliced from 9 exons.